This 1475-nucleotide long non-coding RNA is filed under the name Pocillopora damicornis (cauliflower coral). Its description in RNAcentral is "uncharacterized LOC113685156, transcript variant X1". The record is from RNAcentral. Lineage: Eukaryota; Metazoa; Cnidaria; Anthozoa; Scleractinia; Pocilloporidae.
ACCCUUUAAGUUAAAUUGUCAACUCGAACAUUGCAAACUUCGCUGGUCUCGACAUAGGCUACAAAGCUUCGAGUACGCAAACCUGCCGUAAGCUAAUUCUUUUGCUUUUGCCAGUAAUAUUUGAGAAACUAUGGUGUCUUCUAAAGCAUUUUUCGUUUCAUUCCUGGUUUCUUGCGUUCUUCUCUCGGUUUACUGUCAAAAAGCUGAGGAACAGGGGCUUCCCGGCAUUCGCUGGGGGAGACAUUUUCAAGAGGAUGACCUCACUCAAAGAGGUGGAGAAGGAAAGCUUUGGAGAGUAAUGGAGCAAAAAAGAAACCAUCAUUAUCGAUUUAACGAUGGAGUCCAAAAGCAAGAAUCGUAGGAACAGUAAAAAAAUCCUCAAUUAAAAACCUUCGUGAACAAAAGGGAUCCCUGUCUGUUAAAUACAUGAUACUUCAUCAACUGAGAGUUCAUGACUUUUAAAGAAAUACUAGAAUCAGUUCUGUGUUUGGAGAGCACAUCAAGUCGUGUGAUAAAUGAGUUCUCCGUACAUGCCACGUCAGUGAUUAACUUCUAAUGUAAAUGUAGGCUUAUCUUUGCUAUUAUCCCCAGCCUAUGAUAUUCGGAUAUUGUCAUAAGUCACUAAAUAAAUUGCUGCCUUUGAUCCCGAAAAGUCUAUUUCAUUGUUCCAUCCGAAUAUUCAAUUCAAUAAGUUUCCUAACGUAACAUACGUCAAUUUAUAUUCUUAAGAUUGUAUGUAAGCAUGACUAUAAUAUUCUGAUUAAUUUCUCUGAAAGCAAGCACAUUUAAAAGGAGAUAGAAGGGGUUAUACGAAAUAAAUGUGGCAGGUUUCUAAAGAAACUGCGGUAGGUGAGUAUAAAAGGGUAAUUUAACACUAUCAACAACUGAGUUGAUAACGUAAAGUGACCUCCGUAUAAAGUUUCAAAGCUGACGUUUCGAGCGUGAGCCCUUCGUCAUUCGCUCGUUGGUUAUACGAAAUAAUCAAUUUGAAUAAAAAAUUAUCCUCUUCCGACACAUGUCUCAUAGAAGAAACUUUCAGUUGGAAACAUUGUGCCUGAGAUCAGUCGUUUUGGUUGCUGUUUUUAAGCUUGAAAUUCGUAGCUGAAGUUUAGCCCAUGAUACUUUUAUGCUUUGUUGCAAAUUACAUUUUGAACAGUCUAUAGUUUUCUCGGUCUUUCCAUAACAUUUUUCAUUUUUUCAAUUUAAAAAAAAAAUUGUCAGGCUUAAACAACGUUUAGCGUGACGGUCAGAACGGAAAUUCUCAGGAAAUCAAUUUGCGAAAUCUUAUUAUGAAGUCAAAUAAGAGUUUAAACUUUUUUUUAACGGUUUGAGCUCUUCUUUAUUCAUUGUUACUUUAUUGUUACCCUGUUUCAUUAUUUCUACUCACACAAUGUGGCUAAGAUUCCUCUAUAACUGCGGCAUGACCAAGCUAAUUCUAUAUGAUAAAAACCCUAUUAGCGCAAACUUUUUUUUAG